Molecule: ribosomal RNA, 492 nt
Filed under: uncultured bacterium
Lineage: Bacteria
Description: partial 16S ribosomal RNA
Rfam family: Bacterial small subunit ribosomal RNA
Source: RNAcentral
AGUGAACGCUGGCGGUAGGCCUAACACAUGCAAGUCGAACGGCAGCACAGUAAGAGCUUGCUCUUACGGGUGGCGAGUGGCGGACGGGUGAGGAAUACAUCGGAAUCUACUUUUUCGUGGGGGAUAACGUAGGGAAACUUACGCUAAUACCGCAUACGACCUACGGGUGAAAGCAGGGGAUCUUCGGACCUUGCGCGAUUGAAUGAGCCGAUGUCGGAUUAGCUAGUUGGCGGGGUAAAGGCCCACCAAGGCGACGAUCCGUAGCUGGUCUGAGAGGAUGAUCAGCACCACUGGAACUGAGACACGGUCCAGACUCCUACGGGAGGCAGCAGUGGGGAAUAUUGGACAAAGGGCGCAAGCCUGAUCCAGCCAUACCGCGUGGGUGAAGAAGGCCUUCGGGUUGUAAAGCCCUUUUGUUGGGAAAGAAAAGCAGCAGGUUAAUACCCCGCUGUUCUGACGGUACCCAAAGAAUAAGCACCGGCUAACUUCGUG